Molecule: ribosomal RNA, 497 nt
Filed under: uncultured bacterium
Lineage: Bacteria
Description: bacterial SSU rRNA
Rfam family: Bacterial small subunit ribosomal RNA
Source: RNAcentral
CCCUUAGAGUUUGAUCCUGGCUCAGAUUGAACGCUGGCGGCAUGCUUUACACAUGCAAGUCGAACGGCAGCGCGGGGAGCUUGCUCCCUGGCGGCGAGUGGCGCACGGGUGAGUAAUACAUCGGAACGUGUCUUCUAGUGGGGGAUAACUGCCCGAAAGGGCAGCUAAUACCGCAUGAGACCUGAGGGUGAAAGCGGGGGAUCGCAAGACCUCGCGCUGGAAGAGCGGCCGAUGUCCGAUUAGCUAGUUGGUGAGGUAAAGGCUCACCAAGGCGACGAUCGGUAGCUGGUCUGAGAGGACGACCAGCCGCACUGGGACUGAGACACGGCCCAGACUCCUACGGGAGGCAGCAGUGGGGAAUUUUGGACAAUGGGGGCAACCCUGAUCCAGCCAUGCCGCGUGCAGGAUGAAGGUCUUCGGAUUGUAAACUGCUUUUGUCAGGGACGAAAAGGGAUGCGAUAACACCGCAUUCCGCUGACGGUCCCUGAAGAAUAGCA